Molecule: non-coding RNA, 83 nt
Organism: Armatimonadetes bacterium RBG_19FT_COMBO_69_19
Lineage: Bacteria; Bacillati; Armatimonadota
Source: Rfam
UCGCGAAAGGGCAAACCCAGGGCGACCUGGGGGCGCAAAGCUUCGGAGCCAUCCGAUCUGGAGGGCUGGCCGGGCUGCCGAAC